Molecule: small nuclear RNA, 172 nt
Filed under: Ophiophagus hannah (king cobra)
Lineage: Eukaryota; Metazoa; Chordata; Lepidosauria; Squamata; Elapidae
Description: 7SK RNA
Rfam family: 7SK RNA
About the family: 7SK was discovered as an abundant small nuclear RNA in the mid-70s but a possible function has only recently been suggested. Two independent studies have found that 7SK RNA binds the CDK9/cyclin T complex (known as elongation factor P-TEFb).
Source: Rfam by way of RNAcentral
GGGUGGGGACUAUAAUGGCAUCUGUUAUUCCAUUGAUUACCAACAUUGAUUUAUUAUCUGGCUAGAUGGGUGUUCUUUCUUCCUUCUUUGUUAUAUGUGCAUCUUUUUGAAGUUGCAUACUCAGUGGAAGAGGACAGGUAUCCCAGAUAAAAGCAUGUCAUUCCCCUACUAG